UGGAAGUAAAAAGUCGUAACAAGGUUUCCGUAGGUGAACCUGCGGAAGGAUCAUUACUGAUUUGCUUAAUUGCACCACAUGUGUUUUUUAUUGAACAAAUUUCUUUGGUGGCGGGAGCAAUCCUACCGCCAGAGGUUAUAACUAAACCAAACUUUUUAUUUACAGUCAAACUUGAUUUAUUAUUACAAUAGUCAAAACUUUCAACAACGGAUCUCUUGGUUCUCGCAUCGAUGAAGAACGCAGCGAAAUGCGAUACGUAAUAUGAAUUGCAGAUAUUCGUGAAUCAUCGAAUCUUUGAACGCACAUUGCGCCCUUUGGUAUUCCAAAGGGCAUGCCUGUUUGAGCGUCAUUUCUCCCUCAAACCCCCGGGUUUGGUGUUGAGCAAUACGCUAGGUUUGUUUGAAAGAAUUUAACGUGGAAACUUAUUUUAAGCGACUUAGGUUUAUCCAAAAACGCUUAUUUUGCUAGUGGCCACCACAAUUUAUUUCAUAACUUUGACCUCAAAUCAGGUAGGACUACCCGCUGAACUUAAGCAUAUCAAUAAGCGGAGGAA
This 553-nucleotide ribosomal RNA is filed under the name Candida tropicalis. RNAcentral's name for it is "eukaryotic LSU rRNA". The stretch from base 196 to 349 matches the Rfam family "5.8S ribosomal RNA". Lineage: Eukaryota; Fungi; Ascomycota; Pichiomycetes; Serinales; Debaryomycetaceae. The record is from RNAcentral.